CGCGCACCCUCCAUCGGUGUGCCACAUCUCUGUGACCUCUUUUUUCCUUGUAUUAUAGGUUUCGUAGCCGCGGCUCCGCAUGCGCUGACGGAAGACGAGAAGACAAGAAUAAGAGCUAAAAACAACUUGCGGCGGAAAGCACCACGUGUAGUCGCACUCAUACGUAGAGCGCACCGCGAACAACGCCAUGCAGGUCAACUCGCUCUUGGAGCGUAUGCGGAAGGUGCGGCAGGAAAAGGCUGCCGCUGCUGCCGCCGCUGCCGCCGCUCCACCAGCAGUGACCAACGCGACCGCCACUGUCCCUGCUGCAAACGCAGCGAUCAGAGACGCACCCGUGUCGAGCGCCGCUGACGCGGAUACCGCGGGUGGCGGCGGCGUCGUGUCGUCGUCGUUGCUGACAGGUGUGACGGUGCCGGCCCCGCCGCCCGUGUUCGCCUCUCCAUCCUCGGCGCGGCUUGAGUACCGUGACAACGCAAAGGAUCCGCUCUGUGUGCCCUUCACAUGCGACAUGGUUGUACCAGUUCUGAACGCGCUCCUCAGCAAUCAACAGCACGGCUCAACGUCAACUGUUGCCGCUGCCGCUUCCGGAGGCCUUAAUGGUGCCGUGGUGCCCAUGAUGACGGAGGCGGUCAACAGCAUUGACGCCACUGGGGGCGAUACCCGUGACGUGAGUGCAUUGAGCAGUGCUUCGGCAGAGAUCCCGGGCGCCGGCCGCGACAGCAGCGGGAAGGAGAGCCAGUCUAUUGUGGUGGCGAAGGCUGUCGUGCGUAUGCGAGAGGUGCUGGCAGCGCAAGGGCCUCCGCAGAUGCCCCAGAAAGCGGCAGUGGAGAGCGUGCCAUCCAUCACCGCCACCGGCACUGCUACUGCUGCUGGCGCGCCGGUCUCUUCUCUUCGCCCAUCUAGCGCUUCCUUGUUUGCCGAUGCAGCAUACAAUACUGCCUGCGCCGUGGCCCGCGUCGAUGUCUCCGGCGCCGUUCGACCCAUCUGCAGGGAUGUGAACUACUACACUCGAGUCGGCCGCAUCUCGCAGGGUGUGUACGGCGUCGUCUUCCGCGCCGUCACCACGGCGGACUACGAGCGGCAGCAUCGGCAACAAUCUCGCCACCGCGUGACUCGACCGGGCUCAGCCGCUUCGUCAGCCGCUGCACCGCCAGGGCACGUGCGCACAUAUGCUCUGAAGCACAUAAAAAAGAUGUGGCUAGAGGACUCGCAGGUUGGGCUUCCGCCAUACUUGAUGCGAGAGAUCGAUCUACUGCUGCGGUUGCAGCAUCCCAACAUCAUGGGCGCACUGGAGCUCGUCUUGCUAGACCCGACGCCGGUCCCGCGCCGCCUGGCAUCACCACCCAAAUCGUGCUCGCCCUCCUCCUCAUCGUCGGAGUCGCCAUCGUCGUCGUCGUCGUUGUCGUCGGAGUCGCCAUCAACCGAGCAGCACGCAGAGGAGGCUGCGGAGUGCGAUCGCGCCCUUCGCCGGCUUCGCUCCACGGCGGAGGACACAGCGGGGCAAAACUUAGCGAAGAAGGCGAAGAUCGACAACGCCGAAGAGCCACUGCCGCAGCGGGAAGAGGCCCGGCCCGCCACGCAAGCUCAAACUAAAGGUGAGAAAGGCGCUGCUCAGGACGCUGCUGCCACACGUCCGCUGGCCGCCGUUGGCGCUGCAAGCAAGGCGAAGGACGUCUUCCUUGUAAUGGACUACUGCCCCUACGACCUGGGGAGUUACAUGCGGCGGUACGCGACUGCAGCAGAGCUCUACGGCGACGGCGACGACUGCAAGUCUACUCACGCGAGUGCACAGGUGCCGUACUUCCACAUCACGCCACGCAACGCGCAUCCGCAGGCGGCGGCGAGCUACGUGGCACGCGCCAAGUCCAUCGUGUACCAGAUCUUGCGUGCCGUGGCGUUUCUGCACGACAGCCGCAUUCUCCACCGCGACCUGAAGACGUCGAACGUACUGCUUGGCGAGGAUGGCUACGUGAAGGUGUGCGACUUCGGCCUUGGUCGCCUCUACCGUGAAGGCCAGGCGCUCACCCCCACCGUUGUGACGCUCAUGUAUCGCGCGCCGGAGCUGCAUUUUGGUGUCGUCGACUAUUCUCACAAAAUGGACGUCUGGUCGGUCGGGUGCAUCUUCGCCGAGCUCUUCCUGCGACGUCCUCUUUUUCACGCCUCGACCGACAGUCACCACCUCCUGGCUGUGUGUGAGGUGCUAGGCAUUCCGACGGAGGAGUCGUUCCCGGGCUUGUAUCACCUUCCCCAGACGAAGACAAUGAUGCAGUCGCUGCCGCGCUGGAACCGCACGUCGCGGCUGGCGAGCCUCUUCCAACGUGGCGCUGUCCUCCCCACCGUAGCACACGGCGAUGUUCCGGUGGCAGCGGAGGGCGCGCUAUUGCCUGAAAGCGGGGUGGAUCUGCUCGCGUCGGUGCUGCAGUGGAACCCGCGCCGCCGCCCAUCUGCUGCCGAGGCGCUGCAGCACCCAUUCUUCAAGGAGGAACCGCUGCCAUGCGCGCCAGCAGAGCUGAUGAGGCCUAUGCCGUGGAUGGACGCUGCCAUUGCUGCUUGUAAUGCCGCGCCUUCCGCAGCACUUGUUCCCGAGGAUCGGCGUGAUCAGCCUGGGAGCCGGGGGUCUCAGGGUUGCCCUUCCACGGCAACACAUAUGGCACCAAGUACAACUGGACGGCCGUCUUCUGCGAGCGUACCACCAGCUAUGCAGCAUGUGGCAGACAUUCCCAGCGGAGUGGAGGCGACUGUCGCAGCCGUUUCAUCAGCGUCUGAAGGCGCAACUGCUGCGUCGCCGCUUGCGAGCGCCUCACCGGAUACGUUCCUUGGAGGCAGCCGUAGCGUUUUCGUGAGCGACACUGUUGGUGGCGGAUACCAGCAAGCCAUCAGUACCCGUGACUACAGCGGCAGCGAUGGAGACCUCGCAGAGGAGGACGAAGAGGAGCAACGGUUGCAGCUGCACACGCGCCGCAGCACGCGCGACCAGGUCGAAGACGACGACGACAGUGAUGCGGAGACGGAGCGAGUGGGGCGACAAGCACGGUUCCUCGCGAACCAAGACCGAGAUGAGUGAGAUGGAGACCCCACUUCCCACUCCCUGUCGGUAGUGGGUGCUCGAUUUCUGUGGUUGUCUUGCAACUCCAACCCUCUCUCUAUCUCCCAUGCGAGCGCGUGUGCGGGUGCGCGCAUGUGUGAUUGAACGUGUGUCUGUGUCUGUGCGCGCUCUCCUCCUGUUGCUGCCGACUCCGCUGCCUGCCUCCCCUGCCACCGCGGUAGGUGGCGGCGUUGUGGUAGUCGUGUUGGCGGUGAGCUGCAAUUGCUUUUUCUCUUCCUCCUCUUCCCUGCUCUUGCGCCACUCGGUUAGGCGCUUCGCGACCGACGCACGCACGAACGAGAGAGAGAGGCAGAGAGGCAGAGCCAUGAGGCACAUGUUGAGGCUCGCGCAGGGGUUUCACCCUCCCAAAUCAUUAGUUGCCAUCGCACCGCUCUACUUCCUCAGAGAUACCCGACACCGCUGACGCGGCCGUGUGUAUGUGAGCGUGUGCAUGCGCACUGUGUCUGCCGCAACCCUUCCCCUAUCAUCCGCCCUUCCUCACCCCCCCGCUUCUCACUCUCACCCUCUCACCCUCUCUCCGAUUCUCGACUCCCAUCCGUGGUACCGCCACCUACCUGUGCCACUGCCGCCGUUCUCCCCCGCUUUCCUUCUGCAUCGCCGCAACCGUUGUCCUUUCUCUCUUACUUUUGCAAG
RNAcentral lists this unclassified non-coding RNA (3739 nucleotides) under Leishmania donovani. RNAcentral's name for it is "gene:LdHU3.27.2840(CDS-product:protein_kinase-lik e_protein)". Lineage: Eukaryota; Euglenozoa; Kinetoplastea; Trypanosomatida; Trypanosomatidae. The record is from RNAcentral.